GCCAGGUGUGGUGGUGUGUGCCUGUAGUCCCAGCUACUCAGGGGGCUGAGGCAGGAGGAUUUCUUGGGCUCAGUGGUUCUGGGCUGUAGGGUGCUAUGCCAAUGGAUGGGGUGUCUGUGAUAAGUUCCACAUCAAGAUAGUGACCUUCUGGAAUCAGGAGACCACCAGAUUGCCUAAGGUGGGGUGAGCCAGCCCAGGUCAAGAAGGGAACAGGUCAAAACUCCCACACUGGUCAGCAGAUCAGUAGAGGGAUCUGUGUAUAGCCACUGCCCUCCUCCAGCCUGGGCAAAAUAGGAAGACUCUGUCUCUG
This is an unclassified non-coding RNA of Pongo abelii (Sumatran orangutan), 310 nucleotides long. It matches the Rfam family "Metazoan signal recognition particle RNA". Rfam says of the family: The signal recognition particle (SRP) is a universally conserved ribonucleoprotein. It is involved in the co-translational targeting of proteins to membranes. The eukaryotic SRP consists of a 300-nucleotide 7S RNA and six proteins: SRPs 72, 68, 54, 19, 14, and 9. NCBI's taxonomy places the organism in Eukaryota, Metazoa, Chordata, Mammalia, Primates, Hominidae. The record is from Ensembl.